This 235-nucleotide long non-coding RNA is filed under the name Homo sapiens (human). RNAcentral describes it as "non-protein coding lnc-GRID2-2:1". Lineage: Eukaryota; Metazoa; Chordata; Mammalia; Primates; Hominidae. The record is from RNAcentral.
GAGAUCAAUCCCCCGUCCUCCUGCUCUUUGCUCCGUGAGAAAGAUCCACCUACGACCUCAGGUCCUCAGACGGACCAGACCAAGAAACAUCUCACCAAUUUCAAAUCUGAAACAUCGCCCAUUCUCUCUCCAUACCAACCCCCAAAAAUUUUCGCCGCUCCAACGCUUCAAUGCUAUUUUGUUUUAUUUGUCUUAUUAAUAUAAGAAGGCAGGAAUGUCAGGCCUCUGAGCCCAG